RNAcentral lists this ribosomal RNA (154 nucleotides) under Staphylococcus pseudintermedius. RNAcentral describes it as "partial 23S ribosomal RNA". It matches the Rfam family "Bacterial large subunit ribosomal RNA", at positions 2769 to 2925 of the family's 2925-position model. Lineage: Bacteria; Bacillati; Bacillota; Bacilli; Caryophanales; Staphylococcaceae. The record is from RNAcentral.
UGCUGAAAGCAUCUAAGCAUGAAGCCCCCCUCGAGAUGAGAUUUCCCAACUUCGUUUAUAAGAUCCCUCAAAGAUGAUGAGGUGAAUAGGUUCGAGGUGGAAGCGUAGCGAUACGUGGAGCUGACGAAUACUAAUCGAUCGAAGACUUAAUCAA